AAGUCGUACAGGUUUCCGUAGGUGAACCUGCGGAAGGAUCAUUAUUGAUUGGUCGAAAGACCUUAUCAGAUUCUACCACCUCUGUGAACCGUUGACCUCCGGGUUAAUAAUCAAACAUCAGUGUAACGAACGUAAGAGUAUCUUAAUUAAACAAAACUUUUAACAACGGAUCUCUUGGCUCUCGCAUCGAUGAAGAACGCAGCGAAAUGCGAUAAGUAAUGUGAAUUGCAGAAUUCAGUGAAUCAUCGAAUCUUUGAACGCACCUUGCGCCUUUUGGUAUUCCGAAAGGCAUGCCUGUUUCAGUGUCAUGAAAUCUCAAUCUAAUAUGUUUUCUGAACAUGUUAGGCUUGGACUUGGGUGUCUGCCAGCAAUGGCUCACCUCAAAUGACUUAGUGGAACAUCCCACAUCAGUGUUAGACGUAAUAAGUUUCGUCUCUCCUUGUGGUGAUGACUGCUCAAAACCUGCCAUCGCGCACCUUUUGACUUUGACCUGAAAUCAGGUAGGGCUACCCGCUGAACUUAAGC
Molecule: ribosomal RNA, 525 nt
Filed under: uncultured fungus
Lineage: Eukaryota; Fungi
Description: eukaryotic LSU rRNA
Rfam family: 5.8S ribosomal RNA (bases 155-308)
Source: RNAcentral